Lycium barbarum (goji berry) is the source of this 12639-nucleotide long non-coding RNA. RefSeq lists it as uncharacterized. The record is from RefSeq and is a predicted model, not a curated record. NCBI's taxonomy places the organism in Eukaryota, Viridiplantae, Streptophyta, Magnoliopsida, Solanales, Solanaceae. The transcript is spliced from 3 exons.
UAAAUAAAUAAAAAAAACAAACGAGCCCUAGGCUCCAACGUUCAUCUCUCUAGCUCAUGAUGAGCUUUCCUUCAAUCAAAAAGGGGAAAAUGCUCUUGCUUUUUGCAUUCCAGAAUUUACUUCACCAAUUCGGUCAAUGAACUUAUUGUUCUUGUCUCCUUCUCCGAAAAUUCAAAACGGUAACUUGCUUUUUCCUAAAAUCUUUUGAUUUUCCUUUUUGUUUUGGGAUUUCUAUCGAAACUAAAACAAAUUUGAAGUUUCAAAUCCAUCCCACAUGCAUCGAGUUGAAACACAAAAACCCUAGCAAUUAGGGUCCUAUAAAUAGAACCCCAUUUCUUCAUUCACAUCACGGUUUUGGACACUUAAAAUGGGUUGUUAUACCCAUAAGAGUAGAAACACUUAGAAACUCGGCUAAACCUAGAGUUUCAAGGAAGUUUCUCACUCAUAGUUAAAUUUUUGAACUCGCUUUCGUUCGUCGGAAGCUUGGUUUGGGUGAAUGGUUGUUCGUCGACUCUCGUCGCCCCCGUCGCUGCUCAACAAAAAGGUAACAUUCUCUCCUUUGCAUUUCUUUUAUUUACAAUUCUUUUAGUAUUUUCAACUUAUUCGUUUCUGUCUAGCUUUGGUUCUUAUUUGUCUAAAUGUUUAAGUUUUGUUAAAUAUUAAUUUUCCUUUCGGGAACAUUGCCCCCCCUUUUUUUUUAAAACUUGUUUAAGCACUCAUAUGUAUGAAUCAAAUCUAACUGCUUUAUUUUAAACUUUUACCCCUCCCUUUAUUUUUAUUGUGUUUGCCUUGGUAUGUUUAUGGCUUUCCAAAUCUGUUUUAUGCUUUCUUAGGUUUUAGUACAUUGGUUUAGAAGGUAUAUAGUUUAAUAUAGCUAAUGGUUGUGUUGGUUCGAAUUUAAGGCAAUUGUUUUAUCUGUUUAAUCCUAAAUGUUGUAUGAUUCAACUGUUGAAAAAUGCCAUAGUUGCAAUCUUUGAUUAGCUCGAACCAAUGUUACUAUAAGGAUUCACAUUCAUAACCGAUGGCUUGUUGCUGUUACAAUGAUUUAUCUAGAUUAUGUUGACUGCCUUGUUUUGUUAGGAUUUCCUAUGAAAAGUGGGCCUUUUUGUCUUGUAAAAUAUGCCUACAACUCCCUGUAAAAUGCAAAAACAAUUCUAGAUAUGAAGUAAUUUGCAGACAGGAAGUAAUCAGAAUAUUUUGUCAAUAGGUCAUAUUUGUUUGGCUCUAAGUUAUGUGGAAGCGUUGUGAGGAUAGAAUAUGAGUAAGCUGCGGUUGAAUGUCAUGUUCACUAGAUAUCAAAAUGUAGUAUAAACAUGUAUACAUUACUUUCUAUUUUGGUAGAAUUAGUUGAUGUGUUAUGGGAGAAAUGUUCUUGUUUCAAAAUGGUUGGGUUGUAUCUGUUCCAACUCCUUUCUUUGAGUCCUAGCUCAAAAUUUCUUUCAAAAAUCUGAGUUUGCACUUAAAGAUUUGGUUUCUCUGCUUUUCACUUUGUAAAUGUUAGACUACAUUUAAGAGGUAUUUGAAGAUCUGUUCAAAGUGUUUAGAUCACUAAAAUACCAAAACAACAACUGAUUCGCCUAGCGAAAAUGUGCCUGCUUAAGCAUUUCAAAUGACCAGACCCUUAUUAGCUUUUCCUGAAGUUUGACAUGUAUUUUUCCUUCUAAAUAAAUUGUAUUUGAGUAUGGAAGUCUGUGUUAAUCCCUAUUCCUAAGUUAAUAUCUCAGUGUUUAUCUAAUUUGGAUUUCUACUUUUUAAGCUAGAGAAGAAAUGGAUAAAUAACCUUAGUUACUCCUCCAGUUCAAGUAAUCAUUUUCGUAUGUUCUGUAAGUUUGAAUUCAUGUGGAUGCAUUUCUAUCCUGGUCCUCCUCUUCAUGUCUAGUGUUUGCAAAGCGUAAAACCAAAUUGUUUCUAAUCAAGUUUGGAUUUCUGUUGAGUUCUCUUCUCAUAAUUUGUAAUCAAAUAGUAAAAUUUAAGUUUUGUCAUACACGUAAUUGGUUGAGAUGGUACUUUUGUUCAAAUAAUAUGUAGCUUGAGUUCAUACCCAAUUAUUUGAUGUUGUGCUAAUCCUCGGUUUUUGGGCAUGAUAUUUAUGUUUAGCUUCUUAUGUUUCUUUUAAAACUGCUUGUUAAAACCUGAGCUUGUAUGAUUUAAACUCAGCAUGGGAUUAUCAUGUUACAUGUUUAAAGUUUGAGCUUCAGUUGUUCUGUUGGUUUUGAGGUAUCAGAUUCUACUUUAAGGUUCUUAAUUUCAACAACAUAUUGGUUCAUUUCCUUUCUUCUUCUUUUUUCUCCACUAAUGUGAAACUUGUUUUAGCUUAACUGGAAAGUAUGCUAAGAAGCUAGAAAAUGUCCUUUCAAAUCUUUGAGUUUAGAACAUGUUAUUGUUCAAUUCUUAACUCAAUAGCCAAGUAGGUUCCUAUAAACCAAGGUUGCAAAUUGUCUAUGAUUGACCAUAUGUUUCUUUUUAUGAUAUAGCAAUCUUUGGCUGAUGAACUUGUUUGUUUGACAAAGCUUCCUGAUUUUACAUAUUAAGUUAGUUAAACAAUGAAUUUGGGCUUGCUUAAGCCAAAAUGUUUUUUUCCUAAUGUUCAAAUCUAUGAGUUUAAAACAUGUUAUUGCAGAAACUUUCAAAUGGUUUCAAAAGAUUGUGAUCUAGUUGUUUAUGCUAGCUUAAGAUAUCCUUAGUUAACUAAAAAAAGAAGAAGAAUGAUUAUGCUGCCUUGAGGGAUCAUUAGCUGACUAGGAGGAAAAAUGUUUCUUCACAAAAAGGGUUGGGUUUUCUCUGUUUGGCUAACCUGGCUUUUCGGUGUUUGGUGAUGUUUUAGACUGCCUCUGUGUUUGAGAUUAUUGAAAUAUGCUUAGUUUUAGAUCUCCUUUUAGCCUUAAUGAUGAAUUAUAAGUCCAGUAAUUCCCCCAUGAAUCCUUGUUCAGUCCUUUCUCCUCUUUGUUAUGUGUUUAGCCUCAACAAUGUCUAUUUGAAUAUUAAAGUACUGAUAUGCUUUUGAUCAAAAUGAAUCAUGUCCAGUGUGGUCUUAAAACACCAGUAAUGGAGAAAAUAUUUGGACUUUCAACUUGCUUGGUCAGUUUUAAAUAUGCUUUGCCUUAACUCUUUUUUGAAAGAAUAAUUAAAUAGGUCAUCAAAUAGGAACAAGAAGCUGUGGUAUGUGCUCAUCUAUUUUUAGACUCUUAAUCUUGAACCCUACAUGAUUGUGUUAACUUAACUAAGUUGUGAUAAUCUUCCAAAACAAAUGAAAUGCUUUUGCGUCGAUGUUUUGUUCAAAUUACUCAUUUCGGGAUACUCAUUCUUUACCAUCUCUUGCUUUGCAUAACUCGAGGGAGAUUUCAAUCUUAAACAUCGUUGAGCUACUGCUGAACCAUUGCUACACUGGGCUACAAAUAGUUGUAUGUUUUAAGGCUAACUGCUCGCUAUAAAUAGUUGCCAUUCUGAGGAAUGUUUUUAAUGCACUUUUGAUCUACUGUUGACCCUUGGAAAACUGCUGCACUUCUGGAAUUCUCAAAGUGUUGUACUUUGACAAAUGAGCUGCUAUAGAUAGGGAAUAGAGGUUUCACUUGAGAUGCCAUGCACAACUACUGCUACACCGCUGCUGUGUUGUUGCCUUUGAGUAGUUGUUGCCCUUUUGGCAAAGUAAAUGCUAUUCUUGUGGAUUGAGCCUUUGUUAUGCUCAGGAUGCUAUCCUAUGUUGCUUCCUUGUUGUUGCUCUGUCGCUGUGCCCAUCUAUUAAGAAAGGUUGCUAUACAUUGCUGGUAUGAUUUGAAACUUACUGAUGUGUUGAGCUGCUGGUUCAUAGCAUUAUACUUCGAAGAAACAAACGCUACACUUGAAAAAUAAAUAUAGCAGCAACUAUAUUUUGAUAUAUUAUUGCUUCUGAUAAGGAACAGAUUGCUGCACUUAAGGUUAAUGAUAUGAACAGAUGCUAUACUUGGGGCCAAUGAUUUUUUUUUGAGGCCAUGCCUUGUCCGGAAAGGUUAUCCCUCGGUUUAGGCGUUAAUGACCUCAUAGUAUUGUCACGAGGAAGGAACGAACAUGCAUUUGGCGCGGCAACUAAAAUGGCCACAAGUUUGCAGCCAAGACAUGUUUCGAAUCCUUUGCCACAUUUGGAAACAUGAGUCUGAGCCUCCGUAAUCAAAGCUCUCAAAGUUUGAUACGAGUCUGAGGGAUAUUAUUAUUAUGUUCAUAAAUGUCACCCUAUGGGGUGGCGUGUUAUUUUGACUAACUACUUUUCCCUUCAAUAUGCGAGGUACAAAUAAACGAAUUUAUGGAGCAACGCUUAAGGACAAAUUAAGAGAGUCGGAUGCUUAGAGCGUUGGAGUGUUGGAGCUUUGGACGAAGAACUGGAAAGAGCAUAGAUGACCUAUUGGAAUAGGAUUGCUAAAAGAUUUGGGUCCAAGGCCAAAAAGCUAAACUUUCUUUCUCUUCCCUUCAUAAUAUGUUUACAUUAGUUUUGUAUAAACAUGUAAAAAAUACAUUUGUGUAGAUAUUGAAACCCUUAUAAGUUAGAACCUAGAAUUAGGUAAAUGAUGCGGAUAGGGACUCGAAUAUGUUUCAAAUUGGACUCGAGAGAUACAUGAGUUAUAUUCCAUUUGUCUAAGAGUAAAUAAAAGUAAGCAAAAUGUUUUCUUAUACAAAAAUUGAUUACCUUUAAGUAAUCUUCAAACUAUAUUUCAUGAUUUAAAGAGUUUGAGAAAAGAAAGUGGAAAAGAAUAUUUAUGGGUAAGUCUUGAGCCUUAAAAUAGUUUUCCAAUGCUUAUUUUGGGUUAGACCCAACUCAAAUGACUGAAAUUUCCUUCAAACCCCAAGUUUGGGAAAAUGGCUUUGGUAGGGAAUAUUGUGACCUUAAACGAGCUAAAAUGAUUAAAUAAGUGAAAUCGUUUUCGUUAUUUAUUCUUAUGAUACUUAUGCUAUUUUCAAGGGAGAAUACUCCAAAUAUAUAUAAGCAUUCAACUCAUGACAUUGGACCAAGUUAGUAGAAACUCUACUUAAGAGAAAAUCUUAAGUGUGUUUUGGUUCAGAAACGAAACGACUUCAACCCUUAUAAAACCUUUUUCCUAAAAAAAUCUCUUUUCCUUAAAGACUUUUUGCCAAAAAAAUGGAGUUAUGAGAUGACGUGACAAUUUUGCAAGAAUAGAAACGUUUUAGCAAAUAAUCACAUUAAUCACACAUUGAAGCUUGAAGGUCAACCGUAUUCUAUGGAUCCUUAAUACUAGGGUGUUUAAAACCUUCCCUAGGGAAUCACCAGAACCCUUAAGUCGAACUCUGGUUAAAAGGAUUUUUUCUUUGUUUGAAUAAACCCUUUUUAACUCGAUUUUCCUAAUUUUCCUUAAUAAAUUAGGUGGCGACUCUAAAAAAUAUAAAAUCCAAUUAGAGUACCAACAACCUCUUAGUAGAUUUUAUGCCUUAACCCACGUAAAAGUGAACCGUAACAGAUGGCGAUUCUGUUGGGGAUUUCCUGGGUUUUAACUAUAAGGGUUUCAAUAUAAUGUGACUUUAAUUGUACUUAUUUGUUUAUGUGUUUAAAUUCCGCAAUUAUAACUGUCAUUCAUUUUACAUCAUAAAUUCCGCCACUCUUGACAAAAAGUAUGAUUUCAAAGGGGACAGGCGGAAUCGCGAUCUAGCCUUAACUAAAAAAACCCGAAACACCUCUUCUUUGGAAUACAUUGAACGUUAAGUUGGUGUACGGUCACCCAACGGCUGACAACGGUUCACCCUGAGUAGUCUACUUGGGUCCAAGGUCAAUUCGAAAAAUCCAUUCUUGCAUAAGCCUAGGUUAGAGCUAAGCCAAAUCCAAAUGUGAAGUAGACUGGGUGGUUUGGAUAUUUUAGACACAUCCUAACCCGAUAGGAAGAAUACUCUGUGUCAAGACGGCCUAUUAACCGAAGACACCGCAUCCAACUAUGUUAAAAUUGAAGGAUGUACAUGCCGUAUACGAACCGUUUGUUCUUGGGGUUGGGACUUUUUACUUUACUUUUUAGACUUCAUCCGAGAGGAGCUCGGAAAGUCCGAGAGACGAUGAAGGACCCCCACGGUGGUUUGGUUUAGGAUUUUUACCCCUGCUUGGGACUGAGAUUUGUUUACCCCAUUCCCUUAUUAUGUAUCCCCGUUCGAUAUUCAUAAAGUUUGGGGCAAACGGGACGUCUUAAUGGCAUCUACAUCCUUCAAAUCUAAUAGGCUUGCCUUGGGCUUAAAAAGGUCAUGAAUGAUUAGGACGUGAUAUAUGUUGUUUAUGUGCUACGUGGUAUGCAAUAUGCAUUUUCAUGCCAAUUUUAUUUAUGUGCUUAAAUACAUCUGAUUUGCUUUGAACAUGAAUGGUCCAUUAUUCAGUUUCGAAGUCCUAGAAUGUCAUUAAGCACGCAAACCCAAAAUUGAACUUUCUCAAAGUUCACCAAAAAUCACUCGAGCUCUCGAAACCUUACAUAAAAGUCCAAAUGUAUCAAAUAUUCUAAGAAAAUACUACCCGGUCAUUGCCAAUUAUCAUUGACCACAUCGUUCCUAAAGUUCGCUUUUCCUACCCAUAAAUUGCCAAAGUUGCACCCGUCAUCGAUAUAUUUUAGUAUUACUCAAUCAGCUAGAGUCAAUCACAACCCGUAAUUUUAUUACUCUAGAAAAGCUUUCCAAAUACAGACCCAUGUUCGAGUACGAAACGCUCGAAUCUUACCGUGUCCAUUUUGUUAGUCUCAAAGUUUACCAAAUGAUCAAAAUCCUGCCCUUUCAGUUAGCUCCAUAGGUCGUUUUUAAAGUCUUCCAUUUCGACUGGAUUCUGGACUAUUAUGUUUCAAGCAAAACAAAUGUUACUUGCUUUAUUUAUUAUGACCAACAGACUAAUGCGAUUACCUUUUGAGUUUUUUCUUUCUUUAUGAUUGACUCGCGGGGACUACCAAAACAUUUUUUUACGAAACUCAAGUCACGAUCUUUUUUAGCCCACCCAUGCGCUACGCUACCUGACAUUUUUUUUACGAAACUCAAGUCACGAUCUUUUUUAGCCCACCCAUGCGCUACGCUACCUGUCCAACAACAUUAAAAUGUAAAAAAAAAAAAAAGAAGUAGUUCGACAACUUUACUAUCCUUGUUCAAACUCCAAAGUGACCCAAUCAAGCAAAAGACUCCUUGCUUUUAUGAAAAUCCAAGCAAAAAGAAACGCACCUUAGGUGACGUCCCUAAAACGACCAUUUAUAUUCCCGCUACCACCUGUCUGUCAUGACGCAUUUAGUGGGAUCAACACGAGUCAAUCAUUUUUCUACUAAAGAAAUUUUUCUGUGAGCACAAGGACAAGAAGGAUACAAGGCGAAGAGCCCCAAACUGGCAUCAAGUCCACAGACCUUGAUCAAAGGUGACGACAUUAUGGAAAGUUGAUAUCAAGAAUCAAGACUAUGAGGCGCUACCUGAAUUUUCGCACCUUAGUCAACACAAGCCAAAACGGCUUUAUUUCUAACUCCUGCUUUAUCGUAUCCUUUGUUUUAUCAUAACAACGUUAUGAUUUUACUACCGAUUGUAUUCGAAUCUUGCAGGAAUCGCACGUCAAUGAGUGAGCGCUUGGUCUAUCAAUCAAGCACGAAGAUACCGCACAAGCGUGCUAAAGAAUAGCACAACAAGACUAAGUGUCAAAGAUCAACGGCACCGCUGGGCCAAUCAUGAUCAUCACAAAGCAGUCGGAGUGGACUUCAAGCCUCCAACGUUGAGCAAACAUAUCAAGGAAAAGCCUAUUCGACGGCACAAGAAGUCGUCAACGACCUUUCUUGACCAUUAGUAGGAGCCAUUUGUUGAAGAGGAAUACCAAACUCUCCAACAAAAAGCAAAGAUCUAAAGAGUAUGGUCGAAGAUCGCCAAAACGAUGGAAAGCGCAGCUUGCCUCUACAAAGAGCAAAGGAUCCAAGACGGUUUUGCAUAUGCCAUUAACUUUUCUACAAGUUUUUUUAAGUUUGUCUAUGGUAACUAGCAAAGCGGCAACGUAUCUACUAACCAUUUUCUGUAAGUAUAGGUCGUACAAGUAUCAGGAGGGACUUUAUACAAUUCAAAAUUCAUAGAGGCAUCAAGAUAAUUGCCAUAUGCUAGAAGGCGAAGACGUAAGCAAUCACAGCCUAAAUCUUUAAAAGGAUGGCAUUUGGCCACCCACAUCAACGAGGCUCAGAGGAAUUAUAAACCAUGUCGAACACAUGCUUUUUGGUAUCUCAAUUUAUGUUUUACUUGGAAAUGGGACUUUGUUACUUGUUUGCCCGCGAGUGGGAUUCUUACAGGAUGCUAAUCACCAAAGUGAAACGCUACCCGAUAAAACGGAAUGCUAGCCACUAGGGUGAGACGCUAAUCGACAAAAUGGGAUGCUAAUCACCAAGGUGAAAUGCUAACCAAAAAAAUGGGAUGCUAGUCACCGAAGUGAGACGCUAGCCAAAUGAAAAUGAAACAAUCAUUUGAAUUGGUUUCCUGCUCUUUUAAAUGGCUUAUCCACCUUUAUGACUUUGCAACUACUACGUUCCAUUUUUCUGCAGAUAAGUUUAUUUUAGAUUUUGCAGUAGUUUCAAAACGCCACAAGGGCGACAAUAUCUAGCCACGAGGGCUGUAAAAUGAGCGAAAAUGCCAUAAGGGCAAUAUCUAGCCACAAGGGCUAUAAAAAGAUCAAAACGCCAUAAGGGUAAAUAUCUAGCCAUGAGGACUACAAAAUGAGCGAAAAUGCCAAAAGGGCGAAUAUCUAGCCAAAAGGGCUAUAAAAGGAUCGAAAAGCCGUAAGGGCAAGUAUCUAGCCAUUAGGGCUACGAAAGAUUAAAACGCCAUAAGGGCAAACAUCUAGCCACAAGGGCCAUCAAAGGAUCAAAACGCCAUGAGGGCAAACACCUGGCCAUAAGGGCCCACAAAGAACAAAAGGCCAUAAUGGCAAAAUCACCGGCCGAUGGGGUCGUAGUGAAACAACACGGCACACCUGACUAAGAGGGUCAUAGCCUGCAUAAAGGAUGAAAUAAAGACAUAUCAGGCCAAAAGGGUCACAAUGAAUGAGCGUAAAGACAUACUCGACCAAAAGAGUCACGACAAAGACAAAAGGGCAUAUUCGACCGCGAGGGUCAUAGCCCACACUACGAACGAAAGAAAGAUCAUCCAGCUGCAAGGAUUAUAUUUGUUAUCUCCAUCAUAUUUCCUAUUUCCAAGAGGGCUAUUGCACGUUUACUUUCCUGCUUCCAAGAGGGCCAUUCAUACAAACUGCCAAGAGGGCCAUUGCAUGUUUACUUUCCUGCUGUUAAGAGGGCCAUUCAUACAAGUAUACCAAGAGGGACAUUCAUACAAGUAUGCCAAGAGGGCCAUUCAUACAAACAUGCCAUUCAUAAAACAUGCCAGAAGGGCUAUUCAUACAAACAUGCCAAGAGGGUCAUUCAUACGAACAUGCUAAGAGGGCCAUUUAUUUCAAUUGCCGAAAGGGCCAUGCAUAUAAACUACCAGAUAUAGUAAGACAUAAAGUGAUGUAAAAUCGGUCAUGAGACUGCAGUAUUCGCCCCCCAAAAAACAAAGCAAUGUAAAAUCGGUCAAAAGACCUCAGUAUUCGCCCAAAAAGCCAAAGCGAUGUAAAACAGGUCAUGAGACUGCAGUAUUAGCACAAAAAGAUAAUGCAAUGUAAAGCCGAUCAUAAGACCGAAGUAUUCUCCCAAAAAAGACAAAGCAAUGUAAAACCGGUCAUGAGACUGGAGUAUUCGCUCCAAAGAUUAGAACGAUAUAAAUCAGGUCAGGCAACCGCAGUAUUCAUUUUCAAAGUCAAUCACGGUGUUACCUAGCAGAUGGGAGCAGGUUAGCAGCCACCAAAGAGAGGAGCAGGCUGACCAGACCAGAACCAGAUGCAUGUGGAGCAAAUGUAGAACUUUUUCUAAGCAGCGAAUCGGGGCACAUUGCAAAAGAGAGGAGAAGACUCGUCGGGUGAGAGUUGAGGAUCACCUUUAACCACCAUCAAAAUACACCCCUGUAGAAGGCAUGUAGGUGUUUUUUUCCGUGUCAAAAUCGCUCCCCAAAAAGGCAAAGGUCGCUAUCUUUGAGUUUCACAUUCAGUGUAAUCUCUGAACCUAAGCUAAGGCACUAUCGAUUUUCAUUUAAAAUCUAGGUGAAGACGAAUUUGAGGUACAUGAAAUUAUGUCAGUGCAAGGACUUAGUUAUGAGUGUGAAGUAUGCCACAUUCAUAGCUUAGAACUUGCAAGCCUCUUUUCCGUACUCAAAGUUUGAAGUCAUCUAUCUCAAACCAAAGGUUACUUCCACAUAAGGAAUACCCUUUUUUAUCGAUGGAGUUGAACUACAUACGGCCUAAUUCACGCAGGUAGGGAUUCGUAGGCAAACUCACUGUCAAAGCUCGGUCGUAAUUCAAACUCCCCCAAUCAUGUCCCAAGCUCCCGAUCUCAUAAAUUUGGCACGAGGGGAAUUUUGAAAGUUUGCAAAAAAAUAAAUAAAAAAUGAGUCGAACUACAAGUGGCCUAAAUUCUCAUGUAGCUUGAGAUAUGUACGAAACCCAAUGCUAGGGUUCCGCCGUAAUUUUCAAAAUCAGCAACACUUUUUUCGAUUAAGAGAUGAGUUGAGUUGGUUGGACAAAAAUCGGGUUUGUCAAAUUUCGUUGCGCAGGGACGGAGGGGAAGCUGUUGACACUCAAUUUUUGCCCUCCAAAAAUUCAAAUUAACUAGUCAAGUCUUGAAUCGCAAACAGAGUGAAAGAAUUAUUCAGAAAAUCAAAAAUACUUUCUAAACCAUUUUUGGUGACAUUUUCACUGUUUUAUUGGCAAAGUGCCCUAAUAUAUAUUAUGUAUAUUUUAUAUAUAAUUUUAAGUAUUAAUUGUGUCUAUUUUAUCAAUUUAAAAUCAAUGCGCACAAAAAACAAGUGUUUGAUUAAGCAAGUAUUUUUAAUUGUCAAAAAUUAAAAUAAUUGUUUUACUUUGUUGAAGUCAAGAAGCUUAAUUAAUUAAUUGAAUAAUAAUUUCAUUUCAAUUUUAGCUCAAAACUGGUUGUAAGGAAUGGUUUUAACUGAAAAGGCAUGAGUUUAAUUUAGCUAUUUUGUUAACGUUUUUGGUGCAAUUGCAACACAAAAGGUUAUGAUUUAAAUUCAAUUUUUGGUCAUCACUUGAAUCCCAAAUUACCUCCUCAAGCCCAAAUCACCCCAACACCAUCGGCCCAAAACAAAUUGACCCGGUCUAUUUUUAAAAAAGGAUAGAACCCCUUUUCAUUUUCCAUAUUUUCCAGAACACACACACCAAAAAAAAAAAAAAACCAAACCAGCCCUAGGCUCCAACGUUCAUCUCUCCAGCUCACGAUGAUCUUUGCUUCAAUCAAAAAGGGCAAAACGUAGUUGCUUUUUGCUGUUCUAGAAUUUGCUUCACCAAUUCGGGCAAUGAAUUUAUUGUUCUUGUCUCCUUCUCCGCAAAUUCAAAAUGGUAACUUGAUUUUUCCUAAAAUUGUAACGACCCGUUUGGUCGUUAUAGUCCUUCCGACAUUUUCGCCCCUUUUCAAGCUUGGUUAGCUCACUUUUGACUCGAGGGAACAGUUGGCACGCUUUUGGAGGUGUCUAGAUCGGAUUCAGACAACUUUUUGGGAAAUAUGGGCUUAAAGUGAAAAAGAAUUGACCCAAAGUUGACUUUUGGGUAAAUGGACUUUUUUCGAAAAUUCGUCAAUUUUGAGAGGUCCGGAUGGUCGCUUAGAACUUAUGUGUAUAUCUGGUUCGGUUCCCAAUGCACUCAGAUGCAUUUUGAGACUUGGAUUGGGAAAUUGGAAUUGAGGUAUCGGGGUUGAUUCAGUCAAGGAGAUCUCCAUUGGAAAUUUUGAGGCCACGAGUGCGUUCGUAGCGUAUUUUUAUGUGGAUUUGUGUAUGUGGUUUCUGAGCAGAUGGCCUCGGGAGUGGUUAAAGAUUUCAAUUGAGCUUACAAAAUUUAGUUGGGUUUCUGGUACUUGGUGUCCGCAUUGGCGGUACCAAUUCUAUUCCAGCAGCAUCGGAUGUUGCGGCAGGGUGACUGUUGAGGCAGCCAACUGCUUUAUGGCCCAGACCAUCCCAGUGGUCUAUGGGAGCGGUGGGGAGGCGUCGAACGGCGGUAACAGGCUCGCUAUUUUAUUAAGUGUGUAUUAAAUAAGCCCUUAGUCUAUCAUUUAUUCCCAUUUCGAAAAUUGAGCUCUUAGGGACUGUUUUAGAAGAUCAUUGGAGAAAACUCUUGGUGUUACGUCUUGCUAAUCCCUUAGCUAAUUCCUUGUUCCUAAUCAUCAUAGAUUCCUCUUUCCCUUACUAGUUCUUUAGUAAUGGAAGAUAAAAGUGAAGAUAAUGAAUGUUCUAUCUAGGCUUAAUAAUGAUGAAAUUGAGUGGGAUUAUGCUAGAUUAUGAUGUAUCUAGGGUUGUUAAUCAAUUACCUUCCAUUAUUAGAGUUAAAUUCUUGAAUCAAAGAGUUAGGGUUUAUACCAAAAUAUUGGGGGUUUUACUUGAAAUUCGAAAUUAGGUGAAUCCAUGAGUUAAAUCAGCAAUUAGUUGUUGUGUUAUGAUCACCUAGUGCUUAAUUUGAUAUUUUACCCUCGAAUUUCCCGUUUUGACCUUGUGGACCCCGUUUCCCCAAAUUCUAGUGUUGGAUUUGACCUAAAUUAAAUGAUAGUAAUAUUAGUAUCAUUCUUCAUGGUUUCUAAUAUAAAUUUCGAA